AUUGAACGCUGGCGGCAGGCCUAACACAUGCAAGUCGAGCGGAUGAAGGGAGCUUGCUCCUGGAUUCAGCGGCGGACGGGUGAGUAAUGCCUAGGAAUCUGCCUGGUAGUGGGGGAUAACGUCCGGAAACGGGCGCUAAUACCGCAUACGUCCUGAGGGAGAAAGUGGGGGAUCUUCGGACCUCACGCUAUCAGAUGAGCCUAGGUCGGAUUAGCUAGUUGGUGGGGUAAAGGCCUACCAAGGCGACGAUCCGUAACUGGUCUGAGAGGAUGAUCAGUCACACUGGAGCGGAGACACGGUCCAGACUCCUACGGGAGGCAGCAGUGGGGAAUGUUGGACAAUGGGCGAAAGCCUGAUCCAGCCAUGCCGCGUGUGUGAAGAAGGUCUUCGGAUUGUAAAGCACUUUAAGUUGGGAGGAAGGGCAGUAAGUUAAUACCUUGCUGUUUUGACGUUACCAACAGAAUAAGCACCGGCUAACUUCGUG
Molecule: ribosomal RNA, 484 nt
Filed under: uncultured bacterium
Lineage: Bacteria
Description: partial 16S ribosomal RNA
Rfam family: Bacterial small subunit ribosomal RNA
Source: RNAcentral